CAGCAGCCGCGGGAAUACGAAGGGGGCUAGCGUUGCUCGGAAUGACUGGGCGUAAAGGGCGCGUAGGCGGUUCGGAUAGUUAGAUGUGAAAUUCCCGGGCUUAACCUGGGGACUGCAUUUGAUACUUCCGGGCUUGAGUGUGGAAGAGGGUCGUGGAAUUCCCAGUGUAGAGGUGAAAUUCGUAGAUAUUGGGAAGAACACCGGUGGCGAAGGCGGCGACCUGGUCCAUAACUGACGCUGAGGCGCGAAAGCGUGGGGAGCAAACAGGAUUAGAUACCCGUGUAGUCCCUGUCUCUUAUAA
RNAcentral lists this ribosomal RNA (301 nucleotides) under uncultured bacterium. Its description in RNAcentral is "partial 16S ribosomal RNA". It matches the Rfam family "Bacterial small subunit ribosomal RNA", at positions 509 to 809 of the family's 1533-position model. The record is from RNAcentral.